This 253-nucleotide ribosomal RNA is filed under the name uncultured bacterium. Its description in RNAcentral is "partial 16S ribosomal RNA". It matches the Rfam family "Bacterial small subunit ribosomal RNA", at positions 524 to 776 of the family's 1533-position model. The record is from RNAcentral.
UACGAAGGGGGCUAGCGUUGCUCGGAAUUACUGGGCGUAAAGCGCACGUAGGCGGCUUUCUAAGUCGGGGGUGAAAUCCUGGAGCUCAACUCCAGAACUGCCUUCGAUACUGGAGAGCUUGAGUCCGGGAGAGGUGAGUGGAACUGCGAGUGUAGAGGUGAAAUUCGUAGAUAUUCGCAAGAACACCAGUGGCGAAGGCGGCUAUCUGGACGGUUUCUGACGCUAAGACGCGAAAGCGUGGGGAGCAAACAGG